AUGGAGAUCGCCGGAAAUAGUUUUAAGAAAUGUAAGUUUGAUAUUAAGUUUGAUAUUCUUACCUCUACAAUAGAAAUUUGAGUUUGAUAUCACAAUUUUAUAAUCUGAUUUUAGAAAACAAAUAGUAUUAUAGGCGAUGCAUCGUCGACGGUCUCUGGUCGGCCAGUGGUACAGUUUGAAAGAACUAAAGAUGGCCACUGGUGGAUUUUUUGCUCAAAAUGUGAUGGAUGAAGGCGG
Molecule: long non-coding RNA, 237 nt
Filed under: Nicotiana benthamiana
Lineage: Eukaryota; Viridiplantae; Streptophyta; Magnoliopsida; Solanales; Solanaceae
Description: long non-coding RNA (NBEN_LNC040300)
Source: RNAcentral